AACCGAGUCUUAACCGGGCGUUAAGUUGCAGGGUAUAGACCCGAAACCCGGUGAUCUAGCCAUGGGCAGGUUGAAGGUUGGGUAACACUAACUGGAGGACCGAACCGACUAAUGUUGAAAAAUUAGCGGAUGACCUGUGGCUGGGGGUGAAAGGCCAAUCAAACCGGGAGAUAGCUGGUUCUCCCCGAAAGCUAUUUAGGUAGCGCCUCGUGAAUUCAUCUCCGGGGGUAGAGCACUGUUUCGGCUAGGGGGCCAUCCCGGCUUACCAACCCGAUGCAAACUGCGAAUACCGGAGAAUGUUAUCACGGGAGACACACGGCGGGUGCUAACGUCCGUCGUGAAGAGGGAAACAACCCAGACCGCCAGCUAAGGUCCCAAAGUCAUGGUUAAGUGGGAAACGAUGUGGGAAGGCCCAGACAGCCAGGAUGUUGGCUUAGAAGCAGCCAUCAUUUAAAGAAAGCGUAAUAGCUCACUGGUCGAGUCGGCCUGCGCGGAAGAUGUAACGGGGCUAAACCAUGCACCGAAGCUGCGGCAGCGACACUGUGUGUUGUUGGGUAGGGGAGCGUUCUGUAAGCCUGUGAAGGUGUGUCGUGAGGCAUGCUGGAGGUAUCAGAAGUGCGAAUGCUGACAUAAGUAACGAUAAAGCGGGUGAAAAGCCCGCUCGCCGGAAGACCAAGGGUUCCUGUCCAACGUUAAUCGGGGCAGGGUGAGUCGACCCCUAAGGCGAGGCCGAAAGGCGUAGUCGAUGGGAAACGGGUUAAUAUUCCCGUACUUGGUGUUACUGCGAAGGGGGGACGGAGAAGGCUAUGUUGGCCGGGCGACGGUUGUCCCGGUUUAAGCGUGUAGGUGUGUGUUCCAGGUAAAUCCGGUUCACUUUAACACUGAGGCGUGACGACGAGGCACUACGGUGCUGAAGCAACAAAUGCCCUGCUUCCAGGAAAAGCCUCUAAGCAUCAGGUAACAUCAAAUCGUACCCCAAACCGACACAGGUGGUCAGGUAGAGAAUACCAAGGCGCUUGAGAGAACUCGGGUGAAGGAACUAGGCAAAAUGGUGCCGUAACUUCGGGAGAAGGCACGCUGACACGUAGGUGAAGUGAUUUACUCAUGGAGCUGAAGUCAGUCGAAGAUACCAGCUGGCUGCAACUGUUUAUUAAAAACACAGCACUGUGCAAACACGAAAGUGGACGUAUACGGUGUGACGCCUGCCCGGUGCCGGAAGGUUAAUUGAUGGGGUCAGCGCAAGCGAAGCUCCUGAUCGAAGCCCCGGUAAACGGCGGCCGUAACUAUAACGGUCCUAAGGUAGCGAAAUUCCUUGUCGGGUAAGUUCCGACCUGCACGAAUGGCGUAAUGAUGGCCAGGCUGUCUCCACCCGAGACUCAGUGAAAUUGAACUCGCUGUGAAGAUGCAGUGUACCCGCGGCAAGACGGAAAGACCCCGUGAACCUUUACUAUAGCUUGACACUGAACAUUGAGCCUUGAUGUGUAGGAUAGGUGGGAGGCUUUGAAGUGUGGACGCCAGUCUGCAUGGAGCCGACCUUGAAAUACCACCCUUUAAUGUUUGAUGUUCUAACGUGGACCCGUUACCCGGGUUGCGGACAGUGUCUGGUGGGUAGUUUGACUGGGGCGGUCUCCUCCUAAAGAGUAACGGAGGAGCACGAAGGUUGGCUAAUCCUGGUCGGACAUCAGGAGGUUAGUGCAAUGGCAUAAGCCAGCUUGACUGCGAGCGUGACGGCGCGAGCAGGUGCGAAAGCAGGUCAUAGUGAUCCGGUGGUUCUGAAUGGAAGGGCCAUCGCUCAACGGAUAAAAGGUACUCCGGGGAUAACAGGCUGAUACCGCCCAAGAGUUCAUAUCGACGGCGGUGUUUGGCACCUCGAUGUCGGCUCAUCACAUCCUGGGGCUGAAGUAGGUCCCAAGGGUAUGGCUGUUCGCCAUUUAAAGUGGUACGCGAGCUGGGUUUAGAACGUCGUGAGACAGUUCGGUCCCUAUCUGCCGUGGGCGCUGGAGAACUGAGGGGGGCUGCUCCUAGUACGAGAGGACCGGAGUGGACGCAUCACUGGUGUUCGGGUUGUCAUGCCAAUGGCACUGCCCGGUAGCUAAAUGCGGAAGAGAUAAGUGCUGAAAGCAUCUAAGCACGAAACUUGCCCCGAG
RNAcentral lists this ribosomal RNA (2147 nucleotides) under Salmonella enterica subsp. enterica serovar Enteritidis. RNAcentral's name for it is "partial 23S ribosomal RNA". It matches the Rfam family "Bacterial large subunit ribosomal RNA", at positions 675 to 2803 of the family's 2925-position model. The record is from RNAcentral. Lineage: Bacteria; Pseudomonadati; Pseudomonadota; Gammaproteobacteria; Enterobacterales; Enterobacteriaceae.